Molecule: ribosomal RNA, 301 nt
Filed under: uncultured bacterium
Lineage: Bacteria
Description: partial 16S ribosomal RNA
Rfam family: Bacterial small subunit ribosomal RNA
Source: RNAcentral
CAGUAGCCGCGGGAAUACGUAGGCGGCAAGCGUUGUCCGGAAUUAUUGGGCGUAAAGGGCUCGCAGGCGGUUUCUUAAGUCUGAUGUGAAAGCCCCCGGCUCAACCGGGGAGGGUCAUUGGAAACUGGGAAACUUGAGUGCGGAAGAGGAGAGUGGAAUUCCACGUGUAGCGGUGAAAUGCGUAGAGAUGUGGAGGAACACCAGUGGCGAAGGCGACUCUCUGGUCUGUAACUGACGCUGAGGAGCGAAAGCGUGGGGAGCGAACAGGAUUAGAUACCCCCGUAGUCCCUGUCUCUUAUAC